This 253-nucleotide ribosomal RNA is filed under the name uncultured bacterium. RNAcentral describes it as "partial 16S ribosomal RNA". It matches the Rfam family "Bacterial small subunit ribosomal RNA", at positions 524 to 776 of the family's 1533-position model. The record is from RNAcentral.
UACGAAGGGGGCUAGCGUUGCUCGGAUUGACUGGGCGUAAAGGGCGCGUAGGCGGUUCGUACAGUCAGACGUGAAAUUCCUGGGCUCAACCUGGGAACUGCGUCCGAUACUGGCAGGCUUGAAUCCGGGAGAGGGAUGUGGAAUUCCAGGUGUAGCGGUGAAAUGCGUAGAUAUCUGGAGGAACACCGGUGGCGAAGGCGGCAUCCUGGACCGGUAUUGACGCUGAGGCGCGAAAGCUAGGGGAGCAAACGGG